AAAGAAUAUUGGCAUUCACUUGAUUUUUCCAUCUUCUGAUAUAACCUUCAAAUGUUAAUAGUGUGUCGAAGAAUUUAUUGGAAGUGAGAAACAAGAAAACAGUGAGUCUAACCUAGUCAUUCUAGAAUUGGGAGGUAAUAGAAAAGAGAGAAAUGGGAAAGUUGCUCAAAUGCAAGUCCAGUGAAUCAGAGAGAAAAGGCUCAAAGCAGCAGAACAAAGCUUCAAUAAAGAGAUAUUGUGACUUGGAGAGAUGGCCUUUUGUCCUUUGUUCUAUUACCGGUCAGAGAAUGGGGAGCACACCCAAGCCUGAGACAACAGCUCUGCUAAGUGCCCUUGAGAGGGCACGGUGGGGUCAGCACCAAAGCCAGACCACUAAAGAGAAAAAGAGAGAAAGACAGGAUUGCAGAGGAGAAAUGAGAAUGGCAGAAAAAAUAAUUUUUUAAGCCAAAAGGAAUCAGAGAAGAGCAGAAGUGCCUCUAGGAUAAAGCGUAGCAGGCAGUUAGGGAAAAAGGGCUGUUAAUUACCUUGAAGCUCUGACUACAUUAGAAAGCCUCGCAAGACAGUCGUUGCUUGCACGGGCAGGUAGAGAACUUUUCCUGUCCAUUGUUCUUCUGAAUUAUAAAUCACUGACCUCUUUAUGAUUUCUAAAGGGAAAAUGACUUCAAGCUUCUUAGAGUUCCCCUAAGGCAUUCUCUAUAUUCAAUAUAAUAUGGGAAGCCCUGGGUUUGUCUUUGUAUGUUUCAUCUGCAGUGACCUGAAAUCUUCAUAACCCUCUUCCUUUCUCCACUUAUCAACUAAGGGGUGGUUGGCAAUAAGGAUGGGUGGGAGAGAAAAAAAAACAGAAUUUGAGGAGGAGAGCAUUUAAACCCUCAGACUGUGUGUUCUGUGACAUCAAAGACUGGCAACAUUCUAAAGGAAAAGCAGCUGUGAAGUCAUAAUUAUGUUCACUUCCCACUGGCAACUGGCAAGCCCUUUAUUUUUGUGCAUUCGGAACUCACCAAGAAUAAAUAAAGUCCAUUCCCUCCUUGAGGGGCUAUUCUGCCAUUCCAUCUAGGAUUUAAAAGUUUGCCAAUUCCUAAAACAUCUAUUGUUAUCAAUAGUCUUGUGUCUUUCACAAAGCGGACUUUACAAAAUAAGAUGCCAUGUCCAGCCAAAUAAAUGAGACUGAACUUCAUGGUUGUUGUUUUUACUUCAUCCCGGCAAAAGAAAUGAAAUUAAAUAUAAAAAGCAGAUGACCAAAUAAAGUCCAAAUGAAUUAAGUAUUGCUCCUAGUAUAACUCACAGUUAAUAUAAGUUGACUAUCCUCUCUGUAGACAACACUUUUCAUCAACAUUUUUCACCAUACAGCUAGACCUCAACUAACAGUCAAGUGUCAAA
Molecule: long non-coding RNA, 1377 nt
Filed under: Homo sapiens (human)
Lineage: Eukaryota; Metazoa; Chordata; Mammalia; Primates; Hominidae
Description: HSALNT0341609
Source: RNAcentral